This 495-nucleotide ribosomal RNA is filed under the name uncultured bacterium. Its description in RNAcentral is "partial 16S ribosomal RNA". It matches the Rfam family "Bacterial small subunit ribosomal RNA", at positions 28 to 505 of the family's 1533-position model. The record is from RNAcentral.
GAUGAACGCUGGCGGCGUGCCUAAUACAUGCAAGUCGAGCGAACAGACGAGGAGCUUGCUCCUCUGACGUUAGCGGCGGACGGGUGAGUAACACGUGGAUAACCUACCUAUAAGACUGGGAUAACUUCGGGAAACCGGAGCUAAUACCGGAUAAUAUAUUGAACCGCAUGGUUCAAUAGUGAAAGACGGUUUUGCUGUCACUUAUAGAUGGAUCCGCGCCGCAUUAGCUAGUUGGUAAGGUAACGGCUUACCAAGGCAACGAUGCGUAGCCGACCUGAGAGGGUGAUCGGCCACGCCGGAGCGGAGACACGGUCCAGACUCCUACGGGAGGCAGCAGUAGGGAAUCUUCCGCAAUGGGCGAAAGCCUGACGGAGCAACGCCGCGUGAGUGAUGAAGGUCUGCGGAUCGUAAAACUCUGUUAUUAGGGAAGAACAAAUGUGUAAGUAACUAUGCACGUCUUGACGGUACCUAAACAGAAAGCCACGGCUAACUACG